AUACCUUUCUCGGCCUUUUGGCUAAGAUCAAAUGUAAUAUCUAUUUUUAUUAGUCUAAUAUUUAAUAUAUGGGCCAUGUGCCCACAAUGGUAUUAAAUUUAUUUUUUAUGGGGGAGGGUCUACAAUAAUGGCUUGCCAUUGAUACCCUCAUGUGUCGUAUGGACAUUGCACUACUGCUCAGGCUAGGCGCACCCCAA
RNAcentral lists this small nuclear RNA (197 nucleotides) under Triticum urartu. RNAcentral describes it as "U2 spliceosomal RNA". It matches the Rfam family "U2 spliceosomal RNA". From Rfam's summary of the family: U2 is a small nuclear RNA (snRNA) component of the spliceosome (involved in pre-mRNA splicing). Complementary binding between U2 snRNA (in an area lying towards the 5' end but 3' to hairpin I) and the branchpoint sequence (BPS) of the intron results the bulging out of an unpaired adenosine, on the BPS, which initiates a nucleophilic attack at the intronic 5' splice site, thus starting the first of two transesterification reactions that mediate splicing. Lineage: Eukaryota; Viridiplantae; Streptophyta; Magnoliopsida; Poales; Poaceae. The record is from Rfam by way of RNAcentral.